CCUACGGGAGGCAGCAGUGGGGAAUAUUGGACAAUGGGGGAAACCCUGAUCCAGCGACGCCGCGUGAGUGAAGAAGUAUCUCGGUAUGUAAAGCUCUAUCAGCAGGGAAGAAAAUGACGACACUUGACUACGAAGCACCGGCUAACUACGUGCCAGCAGCCGCGGUAAUAAGUGGGGGGCAAGAGGUAUCCGGAUUUACUGGGGGUAGAGGGAGCGCAGGCGGCGGGGGAAGUCUGCUGGGAAAGAACGGGGCUCAACCCCGGGACUGCAUUGGAAACUGUCGUGCUGGAGUGUCGGAGGGGCAAGUGGAAUGCCUAGUGUAGCGGUGAAAUGCGUAGAUAUUAGGAGGAACACCAGUGGCGAAGGCGGCUUACUGGACGGCAACUGACGCUGAGGCUCGAAAGCGUGGGGAGCAAACAGGAUUAGAUACCCUAGUAGUC
RNAcentral lists this ribosomal RNA (440 nucleotides) under uncultured bacterium. RNAcentral's name for it is "partial 16S ribosomal RNA". It matches the Rfam family "Bacterial small subunit ribosomal RNA", at positions 338 to 795 of the family's 1533-position model. The record is from RNAcentral.